UUUCAGAUACGUACUCGUAGCGAAAGCGAGUUUUUAAUAGAGCGAUUGUAUGCAGCAGUAGACGCGAAACCGUGUGAUCUAUCCAUGGGCAGGAUGAAGCGCAGGUAACACUUCGUGGAGGUCCGAACCGGUUGAUGUUGAAAAAUCUUCGGAUGACCUGUGGAUAGGGGUGAAAGGCCAAUCAAACUCGGUGAUAGCUCGUACUCCCGAAAUGUUUUUAGGAACAGCCUUGUAAUAGAGUUUAGGAGGUAGGGCUCUGAUAGGGUAAGGGCUUUCACAAAGGUACCGACCCCUGAUAAACUACAAAUUCCUUUUACUUGUUUUACAGGAGUGAGGCGUAGAGGGAUAAGCUUCUGCGCCGAGAGGGAAAGAACCCAGACCGCCUGCUAAGGUCCCCAAAUAAUUGCUAACAGCUAAAGGAUGUUGUGUUGCUAAGACAGCCAGGAUGUUGGCUUAGAAGCAGCCAUCCGUUCAAAGAGUGCGUAAUAGCUCACUGGUCGAGCGACACAGCGCCGACAAUUUCCGGG
RNAcentral lists this ribosomal RNA (527 nucleotides) under uncultured bacterium. RNAcentral's name for it is "bacterial LSU rRNA". It matches the Rfam family "Bacterial large subunit ribosomal RNA", at positions 652 to 1179 of the family's 2925-position model. The record is from RNAcentral.